AUGUACACACACCGACGCACCGGCUCCUCCGCUCCCACCCCACUGCUCCUGUGUGUGUCUCUCAUGCACGGGUCUGUGAGGAACAGGAGACCCCCCGCGGUGCCUUGCAUUGAUACACUGUUUCCCCUCCACACUAAAAAAUCAUUUAAAAGCCUCGAUGCGCGCUCCCGCCGCAGCACCGCGCGCGCUCAGCCUCCCGUUCCUCCCCCAAUCAGCAGCACCGACGCCAGCAUCCCUCCACCACCCACCUCUCUGCUCCCUCUCUCUCUCCCUCUCUCUCCCUCCCUCCCCCCCCCCCCCCCCCCGUCUCUCUCCUUCCAGCUCAUCAUUUCCAGGACGUGCGGAAGGAGCCGGUCGGAGGGUCGCGAUGCUCCGCGGGGGUCCCGCGUCCCGGUGACGCGCUGUGGCGCACAGCACCGCAAGACCUCCAGCAGAAGCGCGCAGAGACCGGCGGAAACCCGCAGAACCGGGAACCAACACCCUGCAGUACCCGGAGCCGCAGAACCGGGAGCCCGCAUUCCAGUCACGUCCUGGGGGGUUUCGGGGGCUUUCGGGGGGGGGGGCGCUUCUCCCCUCUCCUCCUUGGACACAGGGAGUGGACGUUCUCGCCGGAGGACGAGGGUCGCGUCCCACGGUCCUCAAACCGGUCCGUUUCUAUCUGGACUCGCCGAAUUCCAGCGUGGAGAGGCUCCUCUCGGAAGCUGCGCGACCCCACUGUCUCUUCUUCCACGCGGGGGAGGCGAUGUGAAGUUGGAGCCCAUUGAACCCAGAUCUCCGAAUGAUUUUCCGGAUGCCCUGGGGGACACAGUGUGAGAAGGGAGAUUUUGGGUCGGCGCGGCCUCUUCCCAACCAGGCUGCCGUGUCUGAGAUGGAGAGGAAGCGCGGCUCCGAGAGCUCCGCCCACCGGGGUCCCACCGCGGGGUUCGAACCCCUGCGCAUUCGCACGGACAGGUAGGUGCACACUGACUUCUCUCUGUAUUCAUUUUUGCACAGACUCCCUCUGCUCCAGGAAGCGCAGCACUCCCGGCGAGGGGGUGCAGCUCUCCUCCCGGAUUCCCCUGGGUCGGCCCUGGGUCCGAUUUCUCCUCCCCCUCUCCCCUCUCCCCUCCCCCCUUUGUCCACCUCAUGUUGCUGUGGAUUGUGACGCAGCGCAGCUCGACUUCCUGCGCCGUCUGCAGUGCCGCUGUGAGCCGGCGGUCCGCCCCCCCCCCCAUCGGCAUGCCGAGGCUUCGGCGAUGAAUCACCGCGAAAGGGGGCCCCGCUGGGCCUGCUCUCGCACCACAUCCUCCACGAACAUUUUCAUACUUUAUUGAUCUGCUUCUCACUGUUCUGCAGGUGUGGGUGCAUGACACCCCACUGCCCCCUCACCACCGUAGCUGAGGUCACGUGGUCAGCGCGUAAUCCCCCGUCCGACCCCAGGAAAAGGCUGCUUUCGCUGAGAUCUGACAGGUGAGUGCAGAUGAGCUCGUUCUUCUCUAUGGUCACCUGCAACAUGCGGAACGCAUCCUACGUGUUGGGAGAUUUCAACAUGAUCUACAUAGAGAUCUCCAAGGGCGGGAGCUGCGGCGCCUUCGCUCUCGCAGUGUGACAUUUGGACACGAGGGAAGUGGUGAAGCCCCCGCUGUCAGAAGAAGGAGUUUGUACCGUGAAGAGAAUUAGACUGAUUCAAUGACGAUCACAGGAGCAGCACAUGGUCAAGCUGAGCUCCCCCUCCCCCCUCCCUCUGGCCAUGGGGGACUGGGGCAGCCGGUCUCUUCAACAGACAGCAUGGCAGAGCUGGGGGGAGUGUGUGUGUGUGUGUGUGUGUGUGUGU
RNAcentral lists this long non-coding RNA (1813 nucleotides) under Scleropages formosus (Asian bonytongue). RNAcentral's name for it is "lncRNA (ENSSFOG00015032171.1)". The record is from RNAcentral. Lineage: Eukaryota; Metazoa; Chordata; Actinopteri; Osteoglossiformes; Osteoglossidae.